Molecule: non-coding RNA, 5123 nt
Organism: Heterocephalus glaber (naked mole-rat)
Lineage: Eukaryota; Metazoa; Chordata; Mammalia; Rodentia; Bathyergidae
Source: RefSeq, a predicted model, not a curated record
CCCGUGGCGGGCGCACCGCCUGUCUGGCUCGGCUUUGUCUGACGGACGCGGUCUGCGAAACGGACGUUGUCGGAGCUCGCGCCCCAGUGGCGGAGGCACCCGGAAGAGACAGGGUUCUCUGCCUCCGGCGCGGAGAAUAUACGGCCUUAGCCCGCGGCACGGCAGCCGGGAGCGGGCAGGCCGAGCACGUGUCGGCGCGCUGCUCCUCCCCCUUCAUCUUUGCCGCGUGACAGGAAUCGCCCGGAGACUGCUGCACACGACGAAUAGAACACUCGAUCCAGGGACCCAAGCAAAAUCAACCCGGCGGAUAAAGGGACCCACGUGGAAAGUGGUGCAAAUACUGGUUAUGAAGCCUGAUUUCUAGCCCAGACUGCUACCUGUGCUUUCUCUUCCUCACCAGCGGCCUCGCAGUCACACGUUUACCUGUGACAGGAUUAGCUGGGUGCCACAGAAAACCCAAACCACUGUGCUUUUUACCUGGUUUGCGCACCAAAGACUGCGGAACGUGGUCAUUUGGGGGGUGGGGGUAACGGGGAUCGAGCUCAGGUCUUUGUGCUUGCCCGCGGAACCACUGAGCGAAAUCCCCGGCCCAGGACAUGGUCUUUGAUGCACUCAUCAGUCAAUGAGCAGCGCACCUUCAAGGCAAACGCCCAACUGCCAGUUACCUACAGUUUCCAAAAUUACCAAUAAACUCAGAUCUCGCCCUUAUUACAGCCAAGGAGUAGGGUUUUGUUUUUGUCAUGGAUAGUUAUUAUUAAAGUUGUCCCUUAGGAUCCUCGGGGAUACCAUUCAAGACCUGUGUGCUUGCCAAAAUCUGAGAAUGAUCCAGUUCUGUGUAUGAAGAGGCUCAGUAGUACUUGUGUAUAACCUACGCACACCCUGUCAUAUACAUUGAGAUCUCUAGAUUACAAUACCGACUGUACAUAGCUGCCAAACUGUAUUGCUCAACUGUAAUUACAAGAAAAAUUUCGUAUAUAUCUAGUACAGAUGCAAAUUUUUUCCGAAUAUUUUCAUGGGAAGUUAAUUCGUUCCCUAUAUCCACCAUCUACAGUUAGAAAUGGCAGAUACUGUAGAUGCAUUCAUAUAAAUGGAGAAAUCAUGACCACUGUGUGAAAUUAUAGUAUUAGUAAUAUCUCCUUUGGGAUUCCUAGAUUGCUCUUUUCCCACUACCAUUGAAUACUGAUCUUUGAAGUAAUUAUUUUCUGUGAUAAGAAUAAUCAAACCAACAUAAAAACACAUUGAGGAUGGCAAAGAGCUGAAAUUUAAAUCGUGGAAAAAGAGAAAAUUCAUUGACAACAAUUAAGGAAUACCAUCUGCCUGUUACACAGAAUAUCAACAGAGAGUGAAAAAUGAGUUAUUCACAAGAGCUGAAUUUUAAGAAUUCCAAUCAAUGGGCUCAGACCAGCAAUAUCCUAGGAACUUGUAAGAAACGCAGAUUCUCAGGCCUGGAUCGGAAAUUGUGCAACAAUCUGUUUUAACAACCCUUCCCAGUGACUGCACACGUCAGUUUGAGAGCCACUGUAUUACCUUACAGUCAACAAGAAGAUCCCAUGCAGUGAACAGGCCUCUUCUACCACAUGCUGCAACCACAAUGUACUAUGCUGUCAUUGCAGAAAGCAAAACAGCCAAGGGACUAGAGACUGAGCCUCUGAAACCGUGAGCCCAAAAAACUUUUCUUCCUCCUUUUAAGGUAUCAUGAUUAGUGAUGGUUCCUUGACGACACAAACCUCGAUAGCAAGCACAUCAGCCUUCUACAGGAAGGAAGCAGACUGGAAAAUUUACCUAAUACAAGCACAGUCACUGCUAAGGAAAAAGGAAGAUAACUCAGCGUGGGAAACAGAAAACCAAGGGGAAGAACUAAAAAGCUCAGAGAAUCAUUUCCUGGGAGCUGGGUUGUGUGCUGCUGACAUAGCUAACAACACUUUUCCAGCAGGAGUUCAGAACUGCAAGGAACCAGUGGUUGCUCUGUUUCCCUUUUGGGUAUGGCUCUGUCUGCAGUGGUUAGUCUCUCUCCAGACUUCCACUUGAUGGCGUGUGUGUGUGUGUGUGUGUGUGUGUGUGUGUGUGUGUGCAAGCUCACAGGACUGCCUAGUCCCAAGGAUUUAGAAGAAACAGACCCCUGAGUAUCGUCUCUGUGCCAGGACCUCACUUAGUUGCCACGAACCUGGAUAUGAAGUCUCCAUCUCCAAUUGACCAGGAGGAAACAAGCCAUCAACUUUCUGAGCUUCAGCUUCUUCAUGUGUAAAAUAAGGACACUUUAAUGAGCAAUAAAAAGACCAAUGCGAAGCCAAGUGAGGUGCUUGAACGAGAGACCUGAAAGCUGAAUUUCAUAACUGAAGAAGCCUUGGUGAACUGUUUGGGGUAAGUAGAACUGGGAGGCAUUUUUGAGAACUGUGUUUUUCAGUAUUCAUAGUCACUUCAUCUUCAAUUUGCUGCUUCUGUGUGGAUUAAAGUGAGUGAUAAUCAACUACAAAUUUCUCCAAGUCCUACUUGAAAUUGUCUGCUAAUGUUUCCAAAAGCAUGUUAUUGCCUGUGGGCUGGCCCUGUGACCUGUGCUUCUUUUUCGAAGAAAUUUGAGCGAUACCACAGAUACUGUGAUUAAGCACCAGGAAAAGAAUGACAUGUCUACUAUCUGCUUAAUCAAUGUAAUCAGCGAAAGGAAGCAAGUAUGAUAUUUUUAUCAUACAUACUUCCUGUUUUGGUUCCUGUUACUUAAGUGAAUUAUCAGACUUCUACCAGAUUGCUGAGCCAAGGGAAACCAGGCUAGUCCUAUUGGCAGCAAUGCGAAGUCACAGAAUUGCUUCUUGUCCUGAAGAAAUCACACAUGAGUAAGAAAGUCUCUGGUGAAGUCUGUCCUCAAGCUUUGGGUCUGUAAGAAGGUGCCACGUGAAGGAAUGGUGCUUUAGUGAUGGGAGGACCUCCAGUGGAAGCCUGUGUCAGCCUGAUGAAGGAAGUUUCUUUGCAAUGAUCAUCCUGAGGCAUUGAGAAUUCAUUUACACCUCCUCUGUAACAUUAAAGAGCUCGAGGGAGCCUCAGGGUCUGCUGCCUGUGUUAUCUUUUGCACUUCUAGACCAGUAGGCUGAGAGGUUUAGUAGGUGGGCUGGAGAAGCUAAGCCUGCUGCAAUGUGUGGGACCGUCCUGAACAUUGGAUACCUGUUCUCCAGGUACCACCAGCACGUUUUGGAUAAACACUACCACCGAGCAAACUCUGGAAAGAAAGAACAUUAUUGAUGGAUAACCUUUAAAGCUCUCUCCCUAUCAUUAGUUUCCACCCAAAUCCCUUUCAACGAUGAGAGUUGAUCCCACUGUGCCCGCUGUUUCUGUCUCUCUUCCUAACCACAAAACCUUUCUCUGCUAAUAGCAGUGCUUUUGUCUCUUUCCCUCUCUUGCCUCACAAGCUUGUUUGCAAGCUCCUAUCAUUUAUCCUGUCUGGUUUCUUACAUUUUUUCUGAAUUUUUGCUAGGAGAUCUUUAGAGGAAGCUUGGCAAGCCAGAACCUGUUGUUCCCAAAAACCUGGAAGAAGGAAGAAGGAAAAACUUGGGGACUCAUCCUUUAAUAAUACUUAUUCCUACUUGGCACGUGAAAGAAGUGCUGCUGCUGUCACUGGCACCCAGAGUGUCCAGGAGUGUAAGAGAGGUUUUGUGGGAGAGGCUGGGGGAGGCCAGGGAGUAGGGCAGCAUGCCACCCCAUCAUCACCUUUAUGUGCAUCUUUUGCAAGGCAGGCAGGGCACAGUUAAUGCUGAGUACCAUUUCCUGAAGCUGGCUUUGUAAGUGCCCACUUUGGUGCUGCCAUUAGGAAUCCAUGUGUCUGUCUAGCUUCUGGGUUAGCAUGAUACACACACAUACACACACACAAUAUACAUAUAUGCCAUCUAUAUUGUAAUUAUUGUAUUUCCAUGUCUCAAUUGUCAUUACUUGUCAAAAUAAAUGCCCAUGGAAUAUAGGUAUGUGAAAGUUAUUUAUGUUCUCAUGCUCUAAAACAUUUCAUUAAAAUAUGGACAUGGACUUAUGAGUCUAAACUUAUUCUCUGAAUAUAAAUAAGCUCAUAACAGUGCUACAAACAAUUAAAGAGAUUUUAUUGUAUGAAAGAAAGUCAGUGGUAGAGGAAAAAAAGUGUCCCCUGGGCUAUAACAUCAUUCUAUUGAUAACAGGACACUUUGAAAUGGUGUAUCUCAGUUUGAUACCCAUAUGUGUCUCUGAACCAGAUUAGGACUUUGUAUUUCCAGAGAGUUACAAAACAAACAAACAAACAAAACCCCCCCAGCAUUUGUAUGUUAAUCUGUUCAUUCUCUCCUUGACUCUGGCUCUAGUUUAUAAUUUACAAGAGGACAUCUGUCAUGUGACUGAGAAUAAAUUCAAAAAGUAAGAAACAUCGUCCCAAUAUCAAUAAGUUUUUAAAAAGUUAUGGCUCAUAAACUCAACUUUAAUAAUAACAGCUUACAUUUAGAGAGAAAAUUCAAAUUCUGUUUCAAGUAUAGGAAUGUUGGAAUAUGCUGUUAGAAGUAAUGUCAUAACUAUACCACAUUCUUACUUUUAUUCCCUAUGCUUUCGUAUAAGAAUAAUUCAAAUAGGAAGUAAAUGGAAAUGAUAUUCAUAUAGCAGAGAAGAAUCCAUGUGGGAAUGAAGUAGUUCUAUUAAAUAUGGCAAAAUGAUAUAGUGUCAUAUGUUUUAAAAUUACCCUUUCACCAAACAGUAUCUCUGAGGUGGGAAAAAGUGAGGUAGGAAAACACUGAAUUUUUAUUUUAUAUUGAAUGCUCAGGAGGGUCCCUUGGGAUAUUGCUGUACUCAAAUGGCUGAUGAUCAUAUGCAGGUUUCUGUUCAAGAAGAAUAACAGAAAUGUCAUAUUAGCUCACUACAGAUAAGUCAAGAAUAGUCCUCAAUUUGAUACAUGACAUUUGAUGGCAUGGGUGUAUUUUAAACUGUUCUUUUGGUAGCGAGGAAUAUGUACACUACUUAUUCCCCUUUGCCAUUUUUUCUUCACCAUGACUGAUUUCCUAAAAAAUAUAGUACUAGUUAAAUAUUGUGCAAUCCCUCCCUAUCUACAAAGACUUUGUUUCCAUUUUUUCUUUUUCUCGUAUUAAGUCCAUACCCUUCUUUCCUUUCCGCUACCCCUCCCACUUCCU